UGGGGAAUAUUGCGCAAUGGGCGAAAGCCUGACGCAGCGACGCCGCGUGAGGGAUGAAGGUCUUCGGAUCGUAAACCUCUGUCAAGGGGGAAGAAAGGCGCGGGUGUGAAUAAUACCUGUGAUUGACGGUACCCCUAAAGGAAGCACCGGCUAACUCCGUGCCAGCAGCCGCGGUAAUACGGAGGGUGCGAGCGUUAAUCGGAAUCACUGGGCGUAAAGGGAGCGCAGGUGGAUCGUAAAGUCUUGUUUAAAAGAGCGGGGCUCAACCCCGUUAGGGACAAGAAACUUAAGAUCUUGAGUGCAGGAGAGGGAAGCGGAAUUCCUAGUGUAGCGGUGAAAUGCGUAGAUAUUAGGAGGAACACCAGUGGCGAAGGCGGCCUGCUGGGCUUUAACUGACGCUGAGGCUCGAAAGCGUGGGGGGCAAACA
This 427-nucleotide ribosomal RNA is filed under the name uncultured bacterium. RNAcentral describes it as "bacterial SSU rRNA". It matches the Rfam family "Bacterial small subunit ribosomal RNA", at positions 355 to 774 of the family's 1533-position model. The record is from RNAcentral.